Non-coding RNA from Chrysemys picta bellii (western painted turtle), 500 nucleotides. The record is from RefSeq and is a predicted model, not a curated record. NCBI's taxonomy places the organism in Eukaryota, Metazoa, Chordata, Testudines, Emydidae.
GGAGUAAGCGCCGUCAACGGGGAGCCGCGGAGGUCGAUUUUGCCGCCGUCCUCACAGCGGGUUCCUGAGACUGUAAUCUAAGAAGAUUUGGAAUGGCCAGAGAAUUACUGAACACUGAAAAAGGCAAAGCGCUGAAGCUAACUUUCAACCAGUGGAUACAUUACAAUUCUGUAAUCUUAUUUUUUAAGAGAUUAGAUGAAAAAAUAUAUGUUAGCAAUCUAAACAAUGUAAUAAUAUCUAUAGAGAAUAAGUGUCAUUGAUUAAAUUAUAAAUAUAGUAUCUUAUUAUGCUUUUGGGGACAGUAGAAAUAUGAAUAGCACUGCAGGUAUUUUUGAAUUAUAAGAGGAGAGAAUAUUGGCAAAUUUUUCAACAGCGGUUUAUCAUGAAAAAGAAGUUACAGUAACUCUUCCCCUGUCAUAGAGAGUGAAAAAACCUCACUUGUAUAUUAAUAUAUUAUAACAAUGAUGCAUGAAGCUAAUAAAAAAAACUUUUGAAAGAGG